RNAcentral lists this ribosomal RNA (255 nucleotides) under uncultured bacterium. RNAcentral's name for it is "partial 16S ribosomal RNA". It matches the Rfam family "Bacterial small subunit ribosomal RNA", at positions 524 to 776 of the family's 1533-position model. The record is from RNAcentral.
UACGUAGGGUGCAAGCGUUAUCCGGAAUUAUUGGGCGUAAAGAGCUCGUAGGCGGUUUGUCGCGUCUGCUGUGAAAACUGGAGGCUCAACCUCCAGCCUGCAGUGGGUACGGGCAGACUAGAGUGCGGUAGGGGAGAUUGGAAUUCCUGGUGUAGCGGUGGAAUGCGCAGAUAUCAGGAGGAACACCGAUGGCGAAGGCAGAUCUCUGGGCCGUAACUGACGCUGAGGAGACGAAAGCAUGGGGGAGCGAACAGG